AUAACAUUUCGGCCGUCGGUCUACCGAGCAAUUUCACCAGCUUGGUAGAAGAUUCUUUGCCGU
RNAcentral lists this microRNA precursor (63 nucleotides) under Bombyx mori (domestic silkworm). RNAcentral describes it as "mir-2774 microRNA precursor family". It matches the Rfam family "mir-2774 microRNA precursor family". Lineage: Eukaryota; Metazoa; Arthropoda; Insecta; Lepidoptera; Bombycidae. The record is from Rfam by way of RNAcentral.